CCUACGGGCGGCAGCAGUGAGGAAUAUUGGUCAAUGGGCGCGAGCCUGAACCAGCCAAGUCGCGUGAGGGAAGACGGUCCUAUGGAUUGUAAACCUCUUUUGUCGGGGAGCAAAAGACGACACGCGUGGCGUUCCGAGAGUACCCGAAGCAAAAGCAACGGCUAACUCCGUGCCAGCAGCCGCGGUAAUACGGAGGAUGCGAGCGUUAUCCGGAUUUAUUGGGUUUAAAGGGUGCGCAGGCGGAAGAUCAAGUCAGCGGUAAAAUUGAGAGGCUCAACCUCUUCGAGCCGUUGAAACUGGUUUUCUUGGGUGAUCGAGAAGUAUGCGGAAUGCGUGGGGUAGCGUGAAAAGGCGUAAAUAUAUGUAAGAACACCAGUGGCGAAGGCGGCUUGCUGGGUCGAUACUGACAUUGAGGCACGAAAGCGUGGGGAUCGAACAGGAUUAGAUACCCAGUAGUC
This 458-nucleotide ribosomal RNA is filed under the name uncultured bacterium. Its description in RNAcentral is "partial 16S ribosomal RNA". It matches the Rfam family "Bacterial small subunit ribosomal RNA", at positions 338 to 795 of the family's 1533-position model. The record is from RNAcentral.